Ctenocephalides felis (cat flea) is the source of this 594-nucleotide long non-coding RNA. RefSeq lists it as uncharacterized. The transcript has 5 exons. Lineage: Eukaryota; Metazoa; Arthropoda; Insecta; Siphonaptera; Pulicidae. The record is from RefSeq and is a predicted model, not a curated record.
UCAAAUUAAACAUAGGUUAACUCGGUCAGUGCAUCGUCGUGCAUCGUGGACGCAUAAUUGAGUAUUUUAUCGUGUAUGUUUGAAAUGCAAGAUAUUUCCUUUAUUGAAGUGUUAUUUAUUAAUUGCUUUUAUAUUUAGUGCUAAAUCAGUUGUAGAAAUUAGUUAAACAGUCAGCUGGAAAAGUAUUUAAUAUGAAACCGGCAAACAAGUCAUUUGCAGUAUAUAGGCCGCCUUCAAUGCAAAGUCUGUUCAUGUAUUGUGAUAAUUGAUUUAUCAUGUAAUAAUUGAAAUUUCUAACACACCAGUCAGAAACAUAACCUCAAUUCAGUGAUAUAUGAAUAAAGAGAAGAAAUUCACAUAUUUAAUACGAAACCAGCAAAGUAUAUAGGUCAUGUGCAAUGCAAAUUCUGUUUAUGUAUUGUGAUAAUUGAUUUAUCACAUAAUUAUUGAAAUUUCUGACAGACCAGUCAAAAAUCACAUAACCUCAAUUCAGUGAUAUGAUAUGAAUAUUAUAGAGAAAGAGUGCUCAUAACCCCUAUGGGUUAUGUCAAAAUGGAAUUCAAACUAGGGAAAUUUGCUCUAAUCAAGAAGAUA